This 1475-nucleotide long non-coding RNA is filed under the name Drosophila guanche. Lineage: Eukaryota; Metazoa; Arthropoda; Insecta; Diptera; Drosophilidae. The record is from RNAcentral.
CUGUGCCUCUCUUUGAGUGCGGAGAGGCUGCACCGCUGAUGGACUGGCCACCACCAUAUUUGUGCUGCUAGAUGGCCAUGUGUCUAUGUAUCUCGUUGCAGCAUUUUUCAAUUGUCAAAGCCAGCCAUAUACACAGCUGUACCGAGUGUAUACGAGAGUAGAGCCCGGGCAUCAUCAGCAUCAUCAUCAACAAUGUGCAAUCCGCAUGCCUUGAAGGCGACUUCCGACACAGUUAUUUCUUCGCUGCUCGCCAGCUGCAUCUGCAUCUGCAUGUGUGUGUGUGUGUGUGUGUGGGUGUUUUUUGUAUCCAUGUGAAUGGGUCGCCCACACAUACACUCGCACACUUUCAAUAGCACUUUCCAUUGACACCAAACAAAAAAAAGAACGAGGAACAGCAAAAAGUGUGAGACCGAAACGAAAUGAAACCAAAGCAAAGAGUGGCACAAAAUGUUACUGCCAGCAGCCUGAGAUACUGAGUUACUGCUAUAAUGGUGAGUGUGAGUGUCCGCCUGUGCUGCUGUCCGUGUCCGUGUCGGUGUCCGUGUGUGUGUGUCCGUGAGUGAGAGUUAACAGCAAUUUGUAACGAUAAUUGUGUGUAUUUUUCAGUGACAAUAACGUUGAAUGCUGAUGAGUUUGCCCGAACCAAAGCCAGGGCCAGAACCAGCAUGUACAGAAUGGACAUUCGCAACAAGAAAUGCAGGCAAACCCAUGUCCAUACCCAAGCCCAUAUCUUCCCCACUGAACCGAUGUCCUUUACAUCCUUCACAGCUGCACCCUGCAGCUGCUGCUGGCUCUCUGCUCUCUGCCAUAAGUGCUGGCCUAAACGGCAAACAUUUCCAGUUGCUGAGUGCUGCGAAAAAGUGGAACUUGGAGCCAAGAGUGAAAGAGAGAGAGAGAGAGCGACUAAGAGAAGUCAAGCGAAUGCGGAGUCAUUGUCAAGUGUGUCAAGUGUCGGGCAAACACCAAUUUAAGGCCAACAAAAAUCAGCAAAAAAAGAAACGGAAAAUCAACACACACAAGGGAGCAAAAUCAAGCAGCAGCAAAAAGCAGUCUGCAGUCUGAAGUCUGAAGUCUGCAGUCUGCAGUCUGCAUAUUCCCCAAAGGACCUUUUUGGCACCCUUACAAUUUGCACCACGUUUCGCGGCAAUUAAAUUCAAUUUGUCAGUGACUUUUCUUAUAAUUGAUUUCAUUUGAUUUCCUUCCCACAUCUCCCACAUGUCUCACAUCUAACUGCCUUCAAUUGUUUCUGACAAUUAAUAAAUGUUGUUGCAUAAUUAAUUUAUGUGACGCAGCAGCAGCGCCAGCCAACACAAAAGGACAACUCGCCUAUUGACAUUGCUGUCAAAUAUGUGUAGAAUGUGUGUGUGUUUUUCUAUACAAGUAUGUAAAGGCUAAUGUAUGAAAAUAUGUAUUCCUGCGAUGGAAAUUUACCAACAGUAAUUAAACAGAAUUAUUUAAAUUAUUCUGGAAAAUAA